UGGGUAACCUGCCUCAAAGAGGGGAAUAGCCUCCCGAAAGGGAGAUUAAUACCGCAUAAUAUGUUUUAAUCGCAUGACUUUAACAUCAAAGGAUUUUCUUCGGAACUUCCACUUUGAGAUGGACCCGCGGCGCAUUAGCUAGUUGGUGAGGUAACGGCUCACCAAGGCAACGAUGCGUAGCCGACCUGAGAGGGUGAUCGGCCACAUUGGAACUGAGACACGGUCCAGACUCCGUAGGAGG
Molecule: ribosomal RNA, 241 nt
Filed under: uncultured bacterium
Lineage: Bacteria
Description: partial 16S ribosomal RNA
Rfam family: Bacterial small subunit ribosomal RNA
Source: RNAcentral